Molecule: long non-coding RNA, 415 nt
Organism: Phalaenopsis equestris
Lineage: Eukaryota; Viridiplantae; Streptophyta; Magnoliopsida; Asparagales; Orchidaceae
Exons: 3
Source: RefSeq, a predicted model, not a curated record
UUUCUUCCUUCUCUCCGUUCUCGGUUGCGCUCAAUAGGAGCUCCUGCGAGAAGGCUACAAUGGUGGAACUAUAGCACAGGCGCGAUCGCAACACAACUACGACCUACAGAGUCGCGAGCAAAGGAGGCGAGCAACCCGCAGAGUGCCUCAACUCGUUGUUUAGGCUUUUGGGAAAAAAUUAAGACGAUGUCAUGUUGGAAGCGAAGAAGUUGGUUUAUGAACUUCCAUAAGGGUCUUAAGCGACGAAAACAACGAAGAUAGGAAAUGAUUGAAUUGAUAAGAAGAGAGAAGAAGAUUUGGCUGCCUCGAAGAAUGGCAGGUUGCUGUGAAAGCUAUUUAAGGUUAUUUACUCAAGGCGGCAAGUUCAAUGCGAGCGUGUAGAAACUAGUGGUACGGAGACUAGAUUAAUUUCUGG